This 497-nucleotide ribosomal RNA is filed under the name uncultured bacterium. Its description in RNAcentral is "partial 16S ribosomal RNA". It matches the Rfam family "Bacterial small subunit ribosomal RNA", at positions 28 to 507 of the family's 1533-position model. The record is from RNAcentral.
GAUGAACGCUGGCGGCGUGCCUAAUACAUGCAAGUCGAGCGAACAGACGAGGAGCUUGCUCCUUUGACGUUAGCGGCGGACGGGUGAGUAACACGUGGAUAACCUACCUAUAAGACUGGGAUAACUUCGGGAAACCGGAGCUAAUACCGGAUAACAUGUUGAACCGCAUGGUUCAACAGUGAAAGACGGUCUUGCUGUCACUUAUAGAUGGAUCCGCGCCGCAUUAGCUAGUUGGUAAGGUAACGGCUUACCAAGGCAACGAUGCGUAGCCGACCUGAGAGGGUGAUCGGCCACACCGGAACUGAGACACGGUCCAGACUCCUACGGGAGGCAGCAGUAGGGAAUCUUCCGCAAUGGGCGAAAGCCUGACGGAGCAACGCCGCGUGAGUGAAGAAGGUCUUCGGAUCGUAAAACUCUGUUAUUAGGGAAGAACAAACGUGUAAGUAACUAUGCACGUCUUGACGGUACCUAAUCAGAAAGCCACGGCUAACUACGUG